Coregonus clupeaformis (lake whitefish) is the source of this 408-nucleotide long non-coding RNA. RefSeq lists it as uncharacterized. The record is from RefSeq and is a predicted model, not a curated record. The transcript is spliced from 3 exons. Lineage: Eukaryota; Metazoa; Chordata; Actinopteri; Salmoniformes; Salmonidae.
UAUCCCAUAACACCUUGCAACACAGCGAAUUCCAAAUACUUCUGAAUUAAUGGCGGACUGAAGUCACCGCUUUGGAGAAAAUAUUCCAGAGGAACAAGGGACAGAUGGCAACUGAUGCGUUCAUUUCACGCCAUGGCAUUGGCAGGACAAAAUAGUUGUGUCCAACUGGUUUGGAGGUUGAAGCACAGCCGACCCCAUCACCCAGGCAGUUGUAAAGAACUUGGGAACCUCCCAUCCACCAGGAAAAUCACCCUAUCCCAGGGGUUUAUUCAGCAGUGUUCAACAUCACUAUAUUAAAAGUAGAUCCACGCAUGUUAUUCUCUAUCAUGCAGAAUUGUCAGCUCAUUGUAACAUAUGAAGCUCAUUCUAAAAUACAGACGUGGGUGAUUUCUGCCCCAGGGUACUGCA